Molecule: ribosomal RNA, 253 nt
Filed under: uncultured bacterium
Lineage: Bacteria
Description: partial 16S ribosomal RNA
Rfam family: Bacterial small subunit ribosomal RNA
Source: RNAcentral
UACGUAGGGUGCGAGCGUUGUCCGGAAUCAUUGGGCGUAAAGGGCGCGUAGGUGGCCCGGUCAGCGUGCGGUGAAAGCUCGGGGCUCAACCCCGAGUCGGCCGUGCGAACUGCUGGGCUUGAGCACUGUAGAGGCAGGCGGAAUUCCGGGUGUAGCGGUGGAAUGCGUGGAGAUCCGGAAGAACACCGGUGGCGAAGGCGGCCUGCUGGGCAGUGGCUGACACUGAGGCGCGACAGCGUGGGGAGCAAACAGG